Long non-coding RNA from Prionailurus viverrinus (fishing cat), 567 nucleotides. RefSeq lists it as uncharacterized. The record is from RefSeq and is a predicted model, not a curated record. Lineage: Eukaryota; Metazoa; Chordata; Mammalia; Carnivora; Felidae. The transcript is spliced from 3 exons.
CGGGAGGGCGUCUGCGCCUGCGCGCUGCGGCCGUUCUCCCGCCGCGUGGGGUCCGGCGGGCGGUCCGGGGGACGGUUCCCGGACCUGAGCGAAGGCGGGGAAGCUUCUCACCAUCUCUCCUGCCAGAAUGUGAGGCAGGGACCCCAAGUGCCAAGGACACUGGCUGGAGCUUGAUAGGUGCUCACAAGAUGUUAAUGAAUGACUCUUACAUAAGGUGUCUAAUCGCUCCUGCACCAUCUGUUGGAAAGCCAUCCUUGUCCCUGUUGGAAUGCUCUUGCCAAAACUCCAUCAAGCACAUUUGUUUUCCUUCGAUUUUCUCUGUUCUGCUUCAUUGAUCUACGAUUCUAUCCCCCACCAAGACCAUGCUCUGUUGUUACUAUAUGGGAAACCUUAAUUUUGUGUAGACCAACUCCUCUGACUUUAUUCGGCUUUAUUCUAGGUUCUGUGUCUUUCCAUAUCAAUUCAAAAAUAAGCUUGUCUCUGUCCAGAAAACUUGCUGGGAUUUUUGAAUAGGAAUUGCAUUAAAUCCAUAGAUCAGUUUGGGGAGAAUUAACAUCUUUUACCACA